UACGGGAGGCCAGCAGUGGGGAAUAUUGCACAAUGGGCGCAAGCCUGAUGCAGCCAUGCCGCGUGUACGAAGAAGGCCUUCGGGUUGUAAAGUACUUUCAGUCGUGAGGAAGGUGUUAAGGUUAAUAACCUUAGCAAUUGACGUUAGCGACAGAAGAAGCACCGGCUAACUCCGUGCCAGCAGCCGCGGUAAUACGGAGGGUGCGAGCGUUAAUCGGAAUUACUGGGCGUAAAGGGCACGCAGGCGGUUAAUUAAGUUGGAUGUGAAAUCCCCGGGCUUAACCUGGGAAUGGCAUUCAAGACUGGUUAGCUAGAGUCUUGUAGAGGGGGUAGAAUUCCGAUGUGUAGCGGUGAAAUGCGUAGAGAUGUGGAGGAAUACCGGUGGCGAAGGCGGCCCCUGGACAAAGACUGACGCUCAUGUGCGAAAGCGUGGGGAGCAAACAGGGAUUAGAUACC
Molecule: ribosomal RNA, 455 nt
Filed under: uncultured bacterium
Lineage: Bacteria
Description: bacterial SSU rRNA
Rfam family: Bacterial small subunit ribosomal RNA
Source: RNAcentral